This 200-nucleotide long non-coding RNA is filed under the name Elaeis guineensis (African oil palm). RNAcentral describes it as "long non-coding RNA (EGUI_LNC019089)". Lineage: Eukaryota; Viridiplantae; Streptophyta; Magnoliopsida; Arecales; Arecaceae. The record is from RNAcentral.
GUGGUUCGGAUGCGAAUGCUUCCUGCAGCCUAAGGUUGGUUGAGUCAUGUGAAAUUCAAACGAAACUGGUGGGCUUCAAGAAAGUUAAACGUAUUUGGCCUUUCUAAAGGACCUAGAAGGCUCCAAAUUAAUAUUCGUUGGUCUGUCUGCAACAACUUUGUCUCUCACAACAACCUUGGAAGUAGUCAUCUUUCUGGGUC